This 455-nucleotide ribosomal RNA is filed under the name Actinimenes inornatus. RNAcentral's name for it is "partial 16S ribosomal RNA". It matches the Rfam family "Bacterial large subunit ribosomal RNA", at positions 1927 to 2597 of the family's 2925-position model. Lineage: Eukaryota; Metazoa; Arthropoda; Malacostraca; Decapoda; Palaemonidae. The record is from RNAcentral.
AGGGCCGCGGUAAUUUGACCGUGCGAAGGUAGCAUAAUCAUUAGUUUUUUAAUUGGAAGCUUGUAUGAAAGGUCGGAUGAGGGGUAAGCUGUCUCUUUGUAAAUUUUGAAAUUUAACUUUUAAGUGAAAAGGCUUAAAUUUCCUAAGGUGACGAUAAGACCCUAUAAAACUUUAUAUGGUUAUUUUCAUUUUAAGAAUUUGUAAUUUAAUUGUAAAGGUGUCAUAUUUUGUUGGGGAGACAUAGAUAUAAUAAUAACUGUCUAUAUAAAUAAAAUAAGUAUAAGAAGCUCGUGAUCCUUUAUUGGAGAUUAUAAGAUUAAGUUACUUUAGGGAUAACAGCGUGAUUUUCUUUGAGAGUUCUUAUCGACGGGAAUAGUUGCGACCUCGAUGUUGAAUUAAAAUUUCCUUGGGGUGUAGCAGCUCUUAAGGUGGGUCUGUUCGACCUUUAAAAUUUU